Molecule: transfer RNA, 69 nt
Filed under: Ictidomys tridecemlineatus (thirteen-lined ground squirrel)
Lineage: Eukaryota; Metazoa; Chordata; Mammalia; Rodentia; Sciuridae
Description: Spermophilus tridecemlineatus (thirteen-lined ground squirrel) tRNA
Rfam family: tRNA
About the family: Transfer RNA (tRNA) molecules are approximately 80 nucleotides in length. Their secondary structure includes four short double-helical elements and three loops (D, anti-codon, and T loops).
Source: Rfam by way of RNAcentral
GGGGCUGUAGCUCAGUGGCAGAGCGCUUGCCUAGCAUGCAUGAGGCACAGGGUUCAAUCCUCAGCACCA